This 502-nucleotide ribosomal RNA is filed under the name uncultured bacterium. RNAcentral describes it as "bacterial SSU rRNA". It matches the Rfam family "Bacterial small subunit ribosomal RNA", at positions 30 to 522 of the family's 1533-position model. The record is from RNAcentral.
AUUGAACGCUGGCGGCAUGCCUUACACAUGCAAGUCGAACGGUAACGGGCCUUCGGGUGCCGACGAGUGGCGAACGGGUGAGUAAUGCAUCGGAACGUACCUUUCAGUGGGGGAUAACGUAGCGAAAGUUACGCUAAUACCGCAUAUUCUGUGAGCAGGAAAGCAGGGGAUCGCAAGACCUUGCGCUGAUUGAGCGGCCGAUAUCAGAUUAGCUAGUUGGUGAGGUAAAGGCUCACCAAGGCGACGAUCUGUAGCGGGUCUGAGAGGAUGAUCCGCCACACUGGAACUGAGACACGGUCCAGACUCCUACGGGAGGCAGCAGUGGGGAAUUUUGGACAAUGGGGGCAACCCUGAUCCAGCCAUGCCGCGUGAGUGAAGAAGGCCUUCGGGUUGUAAACCACUUUUGUCGGGAACGAAACGGUCUGUGAUAACACCAUGGGCUAAUGACGGUACCUAGAAGAAUAAGACACCGGCGUAACUAACGUACGCACGCGACGCGACC